UACAGAGGGGGCAAGCGUUGUUCGGAAUUACUGGGCGUAAAGGGCGCGUAGGCGGCCUUCUACGUCGAACGUGAAAUCCCCGGGCUCAACCCGGGAACUGCGUCCGAUACUGGAAGGCUUGAAUCCGGGAGAGGGAUGCGGAAUUCCAGGUGUAGCGGUGAAAUGCGCAGAUAUCAGGAAGAACACCCGUGGCGAAGGCGGCUCUCUGGGACGGUACUGACGCUGAGACGCGAAAGCGUGGGGAGCGAACAGG
This 253-nucleotide ribosomal RNA is filed under the name uncultured bacterium. Its description in RNAcentral is "partial 16S ribosomal RNA". It matches the Rfam family "Bacterial small subunit ribosomal RNA", at positions 524 to 776 of the family's 1533-position model. The record is from RNAcentral.